CCUCCAUCGCUAGAAAUCUUUUAUGUUCUAAUCAAUUACGUUUAAUACGACAAAAAGGGCUUUUGAAAAGUCAAUUUCAAAUCGUAUUUAGGUUUCCUCGAGAACAGCUAAUUUUUAGAUUUUUAAUCGCUUAAGCGAGAAAGUCAGCUGACCCCAAGAGCCACCUACAUUAUUUACUGUUGAUGUAGUGUCACUUUUGCGGUUUUUUUACAAAGUAUAUACGCUGUUCAUCCCCAUAGAGUGAUGACAGCUGAAAUCAUGCAUAGCAUAUACACAAUAGUCAUUUUUGGCAUUCUUGGAUCAAGUGUGGUUCACUCUUUGCCCCCAGAGCAACCCAUUACUGGGGGUAUGCUUUACCCCAGGGAAACAAUGACGAGGGAUAUUAAAGAUCUUGGUGGGAUUUGGCAGUUUCAAGUUGACUUGUCUACAUGGAGGAAUCAAAGUUUAGUUAAAGAAUGGUGGAAAAGGCCCCUUGCUGAAAAUGUUGAUCAUGUCUUAGAUAUGCCAGUACCCUCGAGUUACAAUGACAUCACAGCUAAUCGCUCAAUACAGAAUUUUGUUGGUUGGGCCUGGUAUGAAACCACAUUCCAGACACCUAAACACUGGCUUGAUACUGUCGAAGGCAAAAUUGCCAGGAGGAUCGUCCUGAGAUUUGAAAGCGUCAGAUACUAUGCCUCCGUUUGGUUGAAUGGCAUGGAGGUGAUGUCUCAUGAAGGCGGUCACUUACCAUUUGAAGCUGAAAUCUCCCAGUAUCUGUUCGCUCCCCCUGUUACUAACAGACUGACUGUGGCAGUGAAUAGUACCAUGCAUGCACAUACGUUACCCCCAGGAUCUUUCUCAUGGGAGCCAAACACAAAUCGAUAUCCUGAGAAUUACUUCAUUAUGGAUCCAGUUGGCAAUUUCUUCCAUUAUUGUGGCAUUGAUAGGCGUGUUUUGUUGUAUAGCACACCUUUGGUAUAUAUUGAUGACAUCACAGUGGACACUACAUAUAGAAACAUUUCAGGCAAUAUAACAGGAGUAGUGAAUUACAACAUCAGCGCUAUAGGAACUACGACACAAAACAAGGUUUACGUUUCUGUGAUUGACAAAAGUCAGCCUGGAAAAGCUAAAGUUAUUUCCUCCAGUAAAAUGGUCAAGGGAGACAUAGCUGCAAGUGUAGAGGUCCCAGAUGCCAAACUAUGGUGGCCAAUGUACAUGAGUAAUAGCCCAGGUUUUAUGUACACAUUGCGUGUGACGAUAGUUGAUGUCUCAGGUAUCGCGAUAUACGACCAAUAUGAUCUUCCAAUCGGAAUCAGAACAGUUAGGGUCACUAAAACGCAGUUCCUUAUCAACGAGCAGCCAUUUUAUUUUCAUGGGUUUGGAAAACACGAAGAUUAUGAUCUCAGAGGUAAAGCAGUUGACCCUGUCACAAAUCUCCGGGACUUUUAUCUAAUGAAAUGGAUUCAUGCGAACUCAUUUAGAACAUCUCAUUACCCCUAUGCAGAGGAAAUCAUGGACUUAGCUGAUAAGUAUGGGAUAGCUGUAAUAGAUGAAUCACCAGCUGUAGGGCUAGCCUCUAAGGAAAAUUUUGACCCAGUGGUGCUACAAAAACAUCUGAAGGUAGAAUCGGAGCUGAUCCGACGAGAUAAAAACCGCCCAGGUGUCGUUAUGUGGUCCCUUGCAAAUGAGGCGAGCUUGGGACAUGACUACUCGACUGCUUAUUUCAAGGCUGUAUUUCAACAUGUAAAGGCUCUAGAUAAAACCCGUCCUGCAUCUAUGGUUCUCAAUCAGCAUGGAAACGCAACAUUUUUCUGUGAUGUCAUAUUGUUUAAUGUCUACCAUGGUUGGUAUAAUGACAGAGGAAGACUAGAAACUGUGGCACUUCAGAUGUAUGAUGAUAUGUCGACAUGGUAUAAAGAGCUCCAAAGGCCUGUCAUGAUCACAGAGUAUGGAGCAGGGGCUGUUGCAGGAAUGCACCUACUGCCCAGCUUUACAUAUACAGAAGACUACCAGGUUGAAAUUCUUCGAGAAAAUCAGAAAGCCUUUGAUAAACUCAAGGCUGAGGGCUACUUUGUUGGUGAGAUGAUAUGGAACUUCGCAGAUUUUAAGCAGCCCCCUCUGAGUGAUAUAGUGAUCAACAAUCGCAAGGGUGUAUUCACUCGUCAGCGCGACCCUAAAGAAUCUGCUUAUCUCGUCAAAGAUCGCUACGUGAAGCUAGCCCAAGCAAUGCAACAGUCCAUGGGGAUGCAAUCAUUACAAAAUGAGGUGGAUGAAAAACUAAGAUUUGUCCCUGAGAAUGGUGUUGACUUGUUAUAAAUAUUCAGCGCUUUAAUUGGCAGCAAAGAGUAGAUGGUGGAAACUCCUAUGCUAAUGUUUCCCUUGUAAUUCUUAUUUAAUUAUUUGAAAAAUCAUUUGAAGAGAAUGUAUAAAUGGACAUACCAAAAAAUGUCCACAACAGCCAUUUUCUGUCUACCUAGUCUUAUCGCCAUUGAUUGUAGUAAAGGGUCUAAUCUAAUGGGGCGGUUUUGGUGCUUAUUGGACUUAAGCAUAAUAGUUUUCUGUUCACCUAUUUAGACGAACAAUUAAUAAAAUGAUAUAUGUAUAUUUUUCAGAUGUGCCAUACUUUUUUACAUACGAAGGCAAUGUGUUAUGCAAUACUAUAUAUUUUAAAUAUUUAACUUUAUAAUAAUGCAAAAUAUAUUUUAAGGAAUAAUAUAGGAAUAUCCUAUGGUUUUGAAAAAAUAUCAUUUGUAUCCAUGAGUGUAUAUUGAUAUCUUCAUGAGUGAGUGCAGCAAAUGAGUGAAAAUAUUUAUAUCCAUGAGUGAAUAUAAUUGAUAUUUUUGAAAA
RNAcentral lists this unclassified non-coding RNA (2826 nucleotides) under Owenia fusiformis. Its description in RNAcentral is "beta-glucuronidase". Lineage: Eukaryota; Metazoa; Annelida; Polychaeta; Sabellida; Oweniidae. The record is from RNAcentral.